GACGAACGCUGGCGGCGUGCUUAACACAUGCAAGUCGAGCGGUAAGGCCUCUUCGGGGGUACACGAGUGGCGAACGGGUGAGUAACACGUGGGUGACCUGCCCUCAGCUCUGGGAUAAGCCUGGGAAACUGGGUCUAAUACCGGAUAUGACCUUUCCUCGCAUGGGGGUUGGUGGAAAGUUUUUUCGGCUGGGGAUGGGCCCGCGGCCUAUCAGCUUGUUGGUGGGGUGAUGGCCUACCAAGGCGACGACGGGUAGCCGGCCUGAGAGGGCGACCGGCCACACUGGGACUGAGACACGGCCCAGACUCCUACGGGAGGCAGCAGUGGGGAAUAUUGCGCAAUGGGCGGAAGCCUGACGCAGCGACGCCGCGUGGGGGAUGACGGCCUUCGGGUUGUAAACCUCUUUCGACCCCGACGAAUUUGGACGGUAGGGGUAGAAGAAGCACCGGCCAACUACGUG
Molecule: ribosomal RNA, 460 nt
Filed under: uncultured bacterium
Lineage: Bacteria
Description: partial 16S ribosomal RNA
Rfam family: Bacterial small subunit ribosomal RNA
Source: RNAcentral